This is an RNA transcript of Aegilops tauschii subsp. strangulata, 8701 nucleotides long. It is a transcript of the gene named putative F-box/FBD/LRR-repeat protein At1g66300, with no coding region annotated. The record is from RefSeq and is a predicted model, not a curated record. Lineage: Eukaryota; Viridiplantae; Streptophyta; Magnoliopsida; Poales; Poaceae.
UUCUACUCGCGUACGAUUUCUCUGCGGGGAAUGAGCGCGGCAAUAAUGGCGCACGGGGAGGGGAAUCGAGGUCGACGGACGGCGCCGAACCCUCUCCUCUCCCCUUCUUGUGAUUCGUUAAAUACCGUCGGGGUGGGAUGGUAGGAGGCGUAUUCCUCUCCCGGCCUGUUCUUCCCCGCGGCUGCCGGCGGCCGGAGCUUCCGCCUGUCGAGUGUCGACGAGUCGUGCUCAGCACCCGCCACCCGUUCGACGAAAUGGGCAAGAAGGCUGCUGGCACCGGCGAGGAUCCCUUCCGCCUCCUCCCCGACGACCAGCUCGACCACAUCCUGUCCCUUCUGCCGGGAGAUGAUGCCCUGCAGACUUGCUUGCUUGACACCCAGUGGCGUUACUUUUGGAGGCGCAAUCCCUGCACUGGUGUGGACCAUAUCAGUUUCAAACAAACCAAUCGAUUGAUUAACGAGUACAUUUUAAAGUGCCGCUGUGUUCUGUGGACGCACCAGUAUCACCUGGUACACGUCUCAUCUCCCGCCACUUGAGGCACACAACAUUUUAUUAUGUUGACCUCAUAGAUUCCUCGGCGGAUUUCUAGGGCUGCCCAGUAUUAGAGCAGCUAACAAUACAAAGUUGCCUUGUUGACGCGUUUGAGAUUUUUUUUGUUGUUGAAAAGGAGGCGUACCUCCGGCCUCUGCAUCAAUCGAUGCAUGCUGCCCAGUAUUAGAGCAGCUAACAAUAGAAAGUUGCCUUGUUGACGCGUUUGAGAUAGUACGUUCUAAAUCACUAAAGCAUCUGUGAUUCAUUGGGGAGGACAAUAUCUUCCCUGAGGAUAUCCACAUGGAUAGUGAUGCCCCAUGUCUUAUCUCGUUGGAACUAGGAGAUUCUCAGGGCUUGACUCCUUCCCUUGAAGAGAUGCCAUUACUGGGAAAAGCAUCCAUUUUGCUUGGCCGUGCGUACUGUGGUGUCUGUGAAACUGACGAGGACGAUUUUCUUACAUGUGGAUGUGCCAGCGAGAAGUGUCUGCUUCUCAACGGAUUGUCCAAUGCUGUUGAGUUGAAAUUGAUUGCUAUGCCUGAAUUGGUAUGCUCUGCACUAUCUUUCUUACUCUUACUGUUACUUUGCCAGUUGCCACCCAUAGUUUCUGUUGUAGCUGUAGUAUUUAUAUCCAUUGUUAGAGCCGCAUAUAGUCUAGUUAUUUAUUUUCACACCACAGCUUCCUAACUUCAUCUUCACCCAUUGGGCCUGAAAUCAACAAAUUAAUAACAUCGUGGCUCUAUUGGAUAAAAUGUGAUAGUUUGCGGACAUAGUAUAGAUUUUCUUUUCCUAGUUUUGAAAUUAAAGUAUCUAACUGAAGUUCCUAGUAUAUUGUACCAGAGUCUCAGACUGUUUUUUUCUGUUCAUUUGCAAUUUGUCCAGCUUAUCUUCAAACAGGAUUUGGAAUGGUGCCCUAAUUCUGACAAAUAAAAGACUCUCGUACUCAAUGAGUGGUUUACGGCUAUUGACCUAUUUUGCAUUCUCCAACAAUCUCCAAAUCUUGAGAUACCCACUCUUCAGUGUUAUGACACCGUGGUAUAUGCUGUAUGGAUAACAAUGUUGCUAUAUUAUUUAAGGUGUUUUCAUGGAUGCUGUAUUUGCCUUACUAAGUGCUCUUAUCUGAUAGAACAUUGUAGGAGCAACAGGAGCCCAGGAAACAAUAGAGCAGCCACUUGUGUGUGCACACCUUAAUUAAGUUUGUUUACAUUGAAUGUGACGAGGUUGAUGAGGGAGUAGUGAAAUUUUGAAUAUCUUAAGUAGAUGCGGCAUACUUAGUGAGCAAAUUACCAUCAAGGCGGGUCUGUGUCCAUACUCAGAUUGUAAGUUACCUUUGUCUAUAUUUAGGAUCCAUUAUAGGUCAGAUUGUAUGACAACCCUUCCAACAUGUCUGAUGUAAUUACACAUGACUUAGAAUGUAUGACACAGACCCCCCCUCCAAAUCCAUCCAUAUUUUGUAUUCAUUAUCCUUCACUAUAAAUUGGAUCUGCAUGCUGAUGGAGCUUAGAAUGACUGUUAUAUUUCAACAUAGUUUAUUAUUCUGUAAUUGCUGGUCACACUACAAUAAGUAGCCCACAUUUUUUAUUCUCCUCUUUUUUUUCUGUUCAAAAAAUUAUAGAUCUGUACCAUCCAUGCAAAAUCAUUUUGUAUUCUCUUCUCAUUUUUUUUCAGUUCAAAAGUUAUCUAAUCCUUUUACUGUUUAUUGGGUGAUGAAAAUAGUAGCUGUUCUCAUCUUGACAUUCAGUUUAGGUCUUCUCUCGUGUUCCAUUUGGUAGAAUAUAUAUCACUAAGAAUGAUAGUGGGUAGAAUGUACAGUAUAGUGCUCUGCAUCCAUCCAGCAAGGACUGCCUUUGCCUUGCUGUAUUUACUGUUGUUCCCCGAGUCUUAUCUCACUCUAGUUGGAUGAUUUUUAAGGUGCCAUUGCUAGAAACAGCCUAUGUCCGACCUAACGAUGGAUGUCAUGAUUUCUGUCACAAGAACAGGCGGGAUUUUGGUAUUUUAUCUUCAUCUAAUGCACCCCAAUCAUUGGCUAAUAAUAGUGUCUUGAUUGGAUAAAAAAUAUAUGAUAUUUUAGGUUCUUACAGCAUAAAUUAUUUAAUCUUCUAGAGUCUCAGAUUCUUUUUUGUUGUUUGCAAUUUGCUUAGUUUCUCUACAGACGGGAUUUGAAAUGGCGUCCCAUCUUUGGCAAAAUGAAGACUCUGUUUCUUAAUGUUUCUCUACAGACGGGAUUUGAAAUGGCGUCCCAUCUUUGGCAAAAUGAAGACUCUGUUACUCAAUGAGUGGUUUAUCUUCAUUGUCGCAUUUUGUUUCUCUACAGACGGGAUUUGAAAUGGCGUCCCAUCUUUGGCAAAAUGAAGACUCUGUUACUCAAUGAGUGGUUUAUCUUCAUUGUCGCAUUCUGUUUCUCUUUAGACGGGAUUUGAAAUGGCGUCCCAUCUUUGGCAAAAUGAAGACUCUGUUACUCAAUGAGUGGUUUACGGCCAUUAACCUAGUUUGCAUUCUCCGACAGUCUCCAGUCCUUGAGAUACUCACUCUUAAGCUUGAUAACACUGAGAAAAUUGUAGGAGCAAGUCCGUUUACGUUGAAUGUGAAGAGGUUGACGAGGGAGUUCGUGCAAUCUUGAAUAUCUUAAGUACAUGUGGCAUACUUCAUGAGAAGAUUAGCAUCAAGGAGGGUCCACAUACGAACUCAGAUUGCACCGGAGCUCAGUCCCUCCCCCUCCCCCCUCGCUCAAGGGUUCAGCCGCCGCUAGGGUUCCAGGCGCCACGACCCCUCCUCCCUCGACGACGGGCGGCCUCCUCGGAGCCCUGCCGGAGCCGGCGAGCGCGGCCCCAACGCCCCCAUGCAGCCGGCCGAAGCAGUCCUCGGAGGUAGCAGAGACCAUCAUAGGCAAGGAGGCGAUGCGCGCCGAUCGCGACGCAGGGCGUGGACACCCUCGUGUGCGUAGGAAUUGGAAAGGUGGGCCACGAGCUUCGCGCCGGGUAGAUCGGCGAGCUUAUCUUGGAAGGUAGCAGAGGCCAUCAUAUCCGGCGGCCAGGAGGCGGUAUCUUCUCGGUCAUGGGGCUUAGGCCUUGCCUCAGAACCAUCUUCAUCCUCUCGCUCCUGUUUCCCAGCAGCUCCCAUCUCCACCCUUGUGUUCUAUUCUACCUCUACAUGGCAGUUUCCGCCUAGCCGGAAUACUGUUCCGCGUCCCUCGAUCUCUUUUUGCUCCGCCUCCGACGCUGCCGUCGGAGACCACUAAUGGCCCGUCGCGAGCCUUGAAGAUCUCGACUCGGCGACAUGCGCAGAUGAACAAGUAUGUGAAAAAUGUCGAUCAUGUAUUUGAAAAAUAUUGAACAAGUAUUUAAUAAUGUUGAAUCAAUAUUUGAAGAAAUAUUUUUCAUUUAUAAAAAAUGUUGAACAAGUAUUUGGAAAAUGUUGAACAAGUAUUUAGAAAAUGUUGAAAAAGUAUUUUAAGAAAUGUUGGGAAAAUGAAAAAAAGAAUUUCCCAAAAAAGGAGGGACCUGGAAAUGAAAAACAAACCUACAAUAAUAUGAAUCCUCUUCUGGGGGAUCGUAAUGUCAAGUUGCUUUCUUACUCGAAAGCUGUUGCGCGGUACUCGAAAGUACUAAAUAGAUAGGCGUUUGGGCUAGGUAAACGAAAAGAGGCAAACUACCGUUGUUUUAGGAGGUAUGGGAGGGCGGAGACCGAUCAAGAGAUGUGUCUUUUCUUGGCUAUCCGGAUUUAUUGCAUCAUUCCUUCCUGUGAUGCCUUUUCCCCCAUCCAUCUCCUAUGCUAUGCCUGGAGUUAGCACAGUCUAUGAGUCGGUCCUGGAACUCCUUCUUUCUAUGUAUAGACAUAAGGAGGUUCUGCUUUCUAUUUAUAGGUACUGGAUCGUAGUAUUUCCUAAAAAAAGUACCUAUAAUCACAUGAAAACCUAUCACAGUUGGGGGUUGUAGCCUUUUUGUUUCCGCUGCUUCAAUAGUUCCGUCCAGCGAAGAGCACUCUGGCAGCAUCACAUGAAAACCUGUCACAGUUGGGGGUUGUAGCCUUUUUGUUUCUGCUGCUUCAAUAGUUCCGUCCAGCGAAGAGCACUCUGGCAGCAACCCUAUAUUGGAUGUAGCACCAGUUGUUCCUGUUGUAUAGCUUGAAGACGACGAUGAUGGAGGAGGACGAGGAGGAAGCCAUCAAAUUGCACUUAUGCACUUGGUGCCCUUGGUGGCUUCCGCCCCGACGACGACGACGACAUCAGAGGGCUUAGACGUCACGAAUUUGUCCUCCCGGGACGCGUGAUCAUGCAAUGUAGCACCUUCAGUGCAGCCUUCCAGUCGGCUGUCACCGUCGUGUGUGUUGGGCAUGGGCGAGCAUGGUGAACAUGGGUCAAAGGCAGACGUGGCACGCGUGCCGGACACUGGGGCGGGGCAGCCAGCCGUCUUACUGGUCCGUUGGCAAGCGUCUCGGCUUCCUGCCGGCGAGGAGCACGGGAGGAAGAGGCGGCACUGAACAAAACAAGCCAUCUUACUGGUUCUUUUCUUCUUGCUCUAACCCGCCGUAAGAGUCCCGUUCUCCUUGGUCCAGUUUAAAAACAAUGUGCUGGACUAUACACCCUCAGUGGCUCGGCCUCCUCUGUUUGCUCAGGUCUAGGUUGAACUGGACGAACUCAUCAGCAGCCGGUGGGUGCGCUCUUUCAUAGUUCUUUUCUGUUUCCUUCCGUGUUCUUUUCUUCUUUGACCUCCUUCUUGUUGUUCCUCUUUGUUCCUCUUGGGGUGACAGUUGCUUGAUGCGCUACUCAGCGACUCAGUGUCUUCCUCCUCAUCUUCGUCCUCCUCCUCGUAGACCCCCCACGGCCAUCUCCUCUCGCUGCUGAGGUCAAUAACCUCGAUGCCUUCCCCAUCCCGAUCCUAGCUGUAUGCCUGUAUCUGCUUGUUGUCUCCUUGCUAGACCACGCAUAGCUGCCGCCCGGAGAUGGAGGGUGCCACCGGGCUUCACGCCGCUCUGUAACCUGGUAAGGCCAUCGCGCUUUCAUCUCCAAGCUACUUUCAACAUCCUGCUCCCACCUGCAUCUCUAGCUUUCGGGUACUGCGGCAAGCACUUGCUCGACCCGAAAGCCGUCGUGUUCCUAAUCUCAACUUUUGUAUUCCGGAGGUCACAUCGGUACACAUGGAUGCCUCAGCCUCGACAUCGGCACGGAACAUCCUACCCGACACGCGCGGUGAGGCUGAGGAGACGACCGACCGAGCCCCACUGAAGUUUUUGAUCAUACCGUCGAGCACGGGCACCAUGGAGCUUACCGUCGCACAUGUCUUGAGAGGGUUCUCUCCAGCAAUGUAAUUUAUGUCGGGUCCUAUUCCUGUGUUGUCGCCUGCUUAGGGAUGAACUAUUUGGUCACUUAAGCUAGUUUUUGUAAGGAAGUAACUUUUUUGACUACCUCCAAAUCACUCAAUUUUUUACACAUGAUCUCUUAUACAACCCUAGAGAGAAUUGGAAGUGAUUUUUUGACCUCCUCCUUGAGAUAAUUGGGAGAUGGUCUAGAAAAUCACUUGCUUACCUGAUAUCUUGUUUAUGAUCUGCAUGCGACCAUCUACCUGAUAUCCUGUUUAUGACCUGCAUGACACGAGGGAAAACAAUUUGGGUUGAUUCGGAGAUGGUCGAAAAAACCUAUUGCUUAGGGACGAACGGUUUGGUCACUUAAGCAGCUGUUUGAAGCUAGCAGCUCUAUCAUAACCACAAACUGUAUUUCAUUUUCACCAUAUGUAUUUUAGAACCACAACAUGUAUUUUAUUUGGGAAAAAUGUAUUUCAGAUGCCCAAAAUGUAUUUCAGUUGUUCAAAAUGUAGCACUAGUAGAACGGGAGAAGGCUGAGGUGGUGGUGGUGGUGCACCAGCGAGGUUAGCGGACAAGGCCGCAACAGAUUUGUCUCCCGAAGGUAAGCCCGAAGAUCAACCGCGUCAUCGCGUGUGCCUAACAGCUUUUCCACACCCAUGCUGCCGUCAAAUACCAUCUUAAGGUAUAGUCCUAGAUUUUGACCUAAGAUCAGAAACUGGCCUCACAUUCUCUUGACAUAUUUGUAUGAGAUCAUGUGUACCAAAUUUGAGUUGAUUUGGAGGAGGUCGGAAAAAUCACUUGCUUGCAAAAACUGGCUUAAGUGAGACCAACGGUCCGGUCCUAAGCAAGUGAUUUUUUAUCUCCUCCAAAUCAGCCUAAAUUUGUUUUACACGGUGAAAUGCAGGUCACAAAUAGGUUUAUCAAGAAAUUUUCAUAAAAUGUGAAGUUUACGAUGCCCCCUUAAGGUAUAGUCCUAGGUUUUGACCUAAGAUUCAACGAGUCACUAUAAAUUCAAAAAAAGAAAAAAAAUGUAAAACCUUCACAUUCUCUUGAUAUAUUUAUAUGAGAUCAUGUGUACAAAAUUUGAGUUGAUUUGGAGAAGGUCGAAAAAAUCACUUGUUUACAAAAACUGGCUUAAGUAAGACCAAACACGGUCCGUUCCUAAGCAAGUGAUUUUUUAUCUCCUCGAAAUCAGCCUAAAUUUGCUUUACAUGGUGAAAUGCAGGUCACAAAUAGGAUUAUCAAGAAAUUUUCAUAAAAUGUGAAGUUUACGAUGCCCCCUUAAGGUAUAGUCCUAGGUUUUGACCUAAGAUUCAACGAGUCACUAUAAAUUCAAAAAAAAUCAAAAAAUGUUAAACCUUCACAUUCUCUCGAUAUAUUUGUAUGAGAUCAUGUGUACAAAAUUUGAGUUGAUUUGGAGGUCAGAAAAAUCACUUGCUUGCAAAAACUGACUUAAGUGAGACCAGACGGUUUGUUCCUAAGCAAGUAAUUUUUUUUUAUCCCCUCCAAAUCAGUCUAAAUUUAUUUUACAUGGUGAAAUGCAGGUCACAAAUAGGAUUAUCAAGAAAUUUUAAUAAAAUGUGAAGUUUGCGAUGCCCCCUUAAGGUAUAGUCCUAGGUUUUGACCUAAGAUUCAAAAAGGCACUAUAAAUUCAAUAAAAAAUAAAAAAUAUUAAACCUUCACAUUCUCUCGAUAUAUGUGUAUGAGAUCACGUGUACAAAGUUUGAGUUGUUUUGGGGGCGGUCAAAAAAAUCACUUGCUUGCAAAAACUGGCUUAAGUGAGAUCAAACGGUUCGUUCCUAAGCAAGUGAUUUUCUUGAUCUCCUCCAAAUCAACCUAAAUUUGUUUUACAUGGUAAAAUGCAGGUCAUAAAUAGGAUUAUCAAGCAAUAUUUUCAUAAAAUGUGAAGUUUACGAUGCCCCCUUAAGGUAUAGUCCUAGGUUUUGACCUAAGACUCAAUGAGGCACUCUAAAAUCAAAAAAAAAGGAAAAACAUUCACAUUCUCUCGAUAUAUGUGUAUGAGAUUACGUGUAGAAAGUUUGAGUUGUUUUGGAGGCGGUCAAAAAAAUCACUUGUUUGCAACAACUGGCUUAAGUGAGACCAAACGGUCCGUUCCUAGGCAAGUGAUUUUUUUGAUCUCAUCCAAAUCAGCCUAAAUUUGUUUUACAUGGUGAAAUGGAGGUCAUAAAUAGGAUUAUUAAGAAAUUUUCACAAAAUGUGAAGUUUACGAUGCCCCCUUAAGGUAUAGUCCUAGGUUUUCACAAAAUGUGAAGUUUACUCGCUCGACUACGUGACCAAAAGUGCCUCCUUAGAAUUUGUGUUGAACUUCACUAGCAUUUCCAUGUUUGAUUUAAUGUGGGAACAUAACAGCCUGCUUUUUCGAUAUGAUGUUUCGGUCUGCGAGUUGGCAUGCCCCAGCUAUGUUUCCAACAUUGUGUUAGGCGAUGAGUCAGACAUUCUCGAGCAACAUCUCGACUCGGAAGUCUGUGUUGUUAAGUUGUUGAUGGUACUUGUAAUCUCUGAGCCAUGUAAUGGAUCAUCCGUUUUUUUAGAUGAUUUUCCUCCCUUUAGUUCUUCCAGAAGGAUUUGAUGGAUUCUUUGUAAGCUAAAUUACUUUUAUUGUUUUGUUGGUUUCAUUGCUUUUUCCCUAGGUAAAGAUGUUGAACUUUUUUUCUUUUCUUUUCCUUAGUGUGUCCCUUGCUCAAAGGUCGUGCACUUCAAUUCUGUGAUGAAUCUUCAAUUUAUUGUAGAGUGGGACACAAACAUACUAGGCGAUCUUGAUAAUAAGAGGAUAAAAAAAGUGCAGCACCUCUGCUCCGUCCCUACACAGCAUUGGCUCACCAGCCUGCUAGAAAAUCUUCACAGUUUUUAA